ACCUGAAGAGUUCCGAAGACGAAGAGGGUGAUUCCAAUGUUGCGAUGAGUGUUGUAUUGAACAGCGAGGGAUUCGCCGCCGAGUUUUAUACCGGUGGCCCAACCGGCGACACCGACGGCGUAGGCGGAGGCUUGACAAGCGACAUGGAGGUAAAACCAAGCUGGAUCUGCUCCUUUGAAAACCUUCAAAUAUCUUGCGAAAAUUGCUCCCAUCGGCAUCAUAGUCCCCCAACUAACAGCGUUCAAAACUCCAUGAGUCUGAAAAAUCAAAACCCUUCAAUCAGAUGGUGAAAUUUCAGGAAAUCCUCAAAAGGGUUUCAUGAAUGGAAACAAUCAAACCGACCCAGAUCAGAAAAAA
This 357-nucleotide unclassified non-coding RNA is filed under the name Hevea brasiliensis (rubber tree). The record is from RNAcentral. Lineage: Eukaryota; Viridiplantae; Streptophyta; Magnoliopsida; Malpighiales; Euphorbiaceae.